AGCUCCAAUAGCGUAUAUUAAAGUUGUUGUGGUUAAAAAGCUCGUAGUUGGAUCUCAGCGGCCUUGAGGCGGUUAGCUUUGUUGUUUUAUUGCUUUGUAGGCUGCGCUUUUGUUGCAGGUUUCGGGGUGCUCUUGUUCGCGUGUGUCUGGCUGCCAGCAGGUUUACUUUGAAAAAAUUAGAGUGCUCAAAGCAGGCUAAAAUGCCUGAAUAUUCGUGCAUGGAAUAAUAGAAUAGGAUGUCGAUCCUAUUUUGUUGGUUUUCGGGACUCGACAGAAUGAUAAAUAGGGACAGUCGGGGGCAUUUGUAUUCAAACGACAGAGGUGAAAUUCUUGGACCGUUUGAAGACAAACUACUGCGAAAGCAUUUGCCAAGAAUGUUUUCA
Molecule: ribosomal RNA, 383 nt
Filed under: marine copepod environmental sample
Lineage: Eukaryota; Metazoa; Arthropoda; Copepoda
Description: SSU rRNA
Rfam family: Eukaryotic small subunit ribosomal RNA
Source: RNAcentral